AAUAAAAAGGAAAAAAAAA
This 19-nucleotide small RNA is filed under the name Arabidopsis thaliana (thale cress). RNAcentral describes it as "ATSL255330". The record is from RNAcentral. Lineage: Eukaryota; Viridiplantae; Streptophyta; Magnoliopsida; Brassicales; Brassicaceae.